This 834-nucleotide ribosomal RNA is filed under the name cf. Phaeosphaeria sp. CPC 12131. RNAcentral describes it as "eukaryotic LSU rRNA". It matches the Rfam family "Eukaryotic large subunit ribosomal RNA", at positions 71 to 925 of the family's 3401-position model. Lineage: Eukaryota; Fungi; Ascomycota; Dothideomycetes; Pleosporales; Phaeosphaeriaceae. The record is from RNAcentral. RNAcentral also lists the same sequence under 1 other name.
GGGAUUGCCCUAGUAACGGCGAGUGAAGCGGCAACAGCUCAAAUUUGAAAUCUGGCUCUUUCAGAGUCCGAGUUGUAAUUUGCAGAGGGCGCUUUGGCGUUGGCAGCGGUCCAAGUUCUUUGGAACAGGACGUCACAGAGGGUGAGAAUCCCGUACGUGGUCGCUAGCCCUCGCCGUGUAAAGCCCCUUCGACGAGUCGAGUUGUUUGGGAAUGCAGCUCUAAAUGGGAGGUAAAUUUCUUCUAAAGCUAAAUACUGGCCAGAGACCGAUAGCGCACAAGUAGAGUGAUCGAAAGAUGAAAAGCACUUUGGAAAGAGAGUCAAAUAGCACGUGAAAUUGUUGAAAGGGAAGCGCUUGCAGCCAGACUUGCCUGUAGUUGCUUAUCCGGACUUUUGUCCGGUGCACUCUUCUGCGGGCAGGCCAGCAUCAGUUUGGGCGGUUGGAUAAAGGCCUCUGUCAUGUACCUCCUUUCGGGGAGGCCUUAUAGGGGAGGCGACAUGCAACCAGCCCGGACUGAGGUCCGCGCAUCUGCUAGGAUGCUGGCGUAAUGGCUGUAAGCGGCCCGUCUUGAAACACGGACCAAGGAGUCUAACAUCUAUGCGAGUGUUUGGGUGUCAAGCCCAGACGCGUAAUGAAAGUGAACGGAGGUGGGAACCUUAGGGUGCACCAUCGACCGAUCCUGAUGUCUUCGGAUGGAUUUGAGUAAGAGCAUGGCUGUUGGGACCCGAAAGAUGGUGAACUAUGCUUGAAUAGGGUGAAGCCAGAGGAAACUCUGGUGGAGGCUCGCAGCGGUUCUGACGUGCAAAUCGAUCGUCAAAUUUGGGCAUAGGGGCG